GUUAAAUGACUGAUUCUUCAGCUUUUGGUCGUGUUCCAUUUCUGAUACCUUCCUUACACACUGCAUCUGGGAACAGCAAGAGUCACGUGUGAACGCCUCGGGCCUCGCCAUAUAGUAGCUCUCUUCAUCUACUCGGUGACUUCAUGUGGCAGUCUUUUUAUUCGGAGGAGGAAACUGAGGCAUGGGUGAUUAAGUGAAUUUCCAAGGCCACAGGAAGACAACACCGGGCCCAUUGAGUACCGCACUAGGUUUUUACCCUCCCAGGACAGUUUCUGAACAUAUUUUGCCUUGAAUAAUAGUUCUUUUUAUUCUUAUGUGAACUAUUUGAUGACAGGGACCCGUGAACUGUCAGGGCGCGGUGUUGAGUGUGAUGGUCACCUCUGCCUGUCUAGAGACAAGCAAGAUGGUUUAAACUCCGUUCCUAAGGCUUCUUUGUAGCUGUUGGAACUGAAGUCGUACUGAUUGUAAUAUCAUUAACUGACAACUAUGUGGGGCUUAUGUUUUGGAUCCUGUUCUGAAUACGUUCCCUCCAGUGACCCAUUUAACCAUUGUUAUCCUUUGGGGAGGGUAUCUGGACCCACUUUCCAGGGGAGAACCUUGAGUCUGCCUUCUGCCAUCUGCUACCACAUCUAGAGGAGGCCUCAGCCGAUUCAGUUCCAGAAUCUAGAUAUUCUUCAUCCAGGAGAGUCUUUUCCUGACUCUGGGCACUGUCUUGGGUCCUUUCUUUUUACUAGAUUUAGUCUAAUUAUAGUCAGAUGAGUUCUUGCUUCUGUGUGAUCCCCUCUUUGAUGGAUACAAGAAGGCCAGUUUCCCAAACUCCCUUGUGAUCUUGGCUUUCCGGAACCCAGGUAUAAAGCCCGUCAUGGUGGUGCAGCAGAGAAAGAGAGAGCUUGUUGAGCCCAACCAGCAUGCCCCAGGUCCCAAAAUAAGUGGAAAUUUGUAUCCUGGGAUUGUGGACAGGAAGCAGAAUGAAGAUGUUCUAACCACAGAACACUUGCAAAGGAUUUCCCACCGUAAGCAGCUCUCAUCUGUGCUGUGUGAGGGGAAAAUGAGCGCUCCUUCUGAAAAGCAAAUGCUACUGUACUUUCCACCGGGCCUUGAUUUGUUAUUAAACUCCAGUGACUAUUAUGUGAGCCAACAGCUGCAAUAGCACAAA
Non-coding RNA from Myodes glareolus (Bank vole), 1156 nucleotides. NCBI's taxonomy places the organism in Eukaryota, Metazoa, Chordata, Mammalia, Rodentia, Cricetidae. The record is from RefSeq and is a predicted model, not a curated record.